Trichechus manatus latirostris (Florida manatee) is the source of this 154-nucleotide small nucleolar RNA. The record is from RefSeq and is a predicted model, not a curated record. NCBI's taxonomy places the organism in Eukaryota, Metazoa, Chordata, Mammalia, Sirenia, Trichechidae.
AGUGCACAUUGUUAGAGCUUGGAGUUGAGGCCAUUGGCUGGCCAACGAACUCACAAGUGUAGCUAGGGUGCUACAUGAUGGGCAAGUUCUUCACUAACCCCACAAGGGUCUUUGGUUCAGUGAGUGGAGUUUGAUAGCAAUCUUUGCUACAAGU